GAGGGUCUCACUUUGAUUUUCCUGAUUUUUUAUAUUUUUUUCACUGCUUACUGAAUUUCUGAUUGGAAACUUGGAAAUCCUUAAAGGUUAUGAAUAACAUAUCCCAUGAAUUGUCCGCACAGGCCUGUGUAAGAUGAAAUGUAAACUCGCCGAGAUUGAGGAAAAAUGAGAAACAGCAACUGAGGAGAAUGUAACGCUAGUAUCGUCAGCUGUGGUGGCCACAAACUUCGCCGUCGGUCGAGCAAACGAAUAAGUACCGGUUUAAUGUUUUCCUGUUUUGUAAUGUUGUUUACUAUCAAAAAAUAUAAUGUAGUCUUUUUUUAAACUUUUUAUAAUUUAUCUAAAUAAUGCAAUAUCUAAUUUUAUUUUAAUUUUUUGUAAUAAUAAAUUUCUUUUUU
Molecule: long non-coding RNA, 398 nt
Organism: Caenorhabditis elegans
Lineage: Eukaryota; Metazoa; Nematoda; Chromadorea; Rhabditida; Rhabditidae
Gene: linc-17
Product: ncRNA
Source: Ensembl